This 1016-nucleotide ribosomal RNA is filed under the name uncultured bacterium. RNAcentral's name for it is "bacterial SSU rRNA". It matches the Rfam family "Bacterial small subunit ribosomal RNA", at positions 357 to 1376 of the family's 1533-position model. The record is from RNAcentral.
AGGAAUAUUGGUCAAUGGGCGAGAGCCUGAACCAGCCAAGUAGCGUGAAGGAUGACUGCCCUAUGGGUUGUAAACUUCUUUUAUAAAGGAAUAAAGUCGGGUAUGGAUACCCGUUUGCAUGUACUUUAUGAAUAAGGAUCGGCUAACUCCGUGCCAGCAGCCGCGGUAAUACGGAGGAUCCGAGCGUUAUCCGGAUUUAUUGGGUUUAAAGGGAGCGUAGAUGGAUGUUUAAGUCAGUUGUGAAAGUUUGCGGCUCAACCGUAAAAUUGCAGUUGAUACUGGAUAUCUUGAGUGCAGUUGAGGCAGGCGGAAUUCGUGGUGUAGCGGUGAAAUGCUUAGAUAUCACGAAGAACUCCGAUUGCGAAGGCAGCCUGCUAAGCUGCAACUGACAUUGAGGCUCGAAAGUGUGGGUAUCAAACAGGAUUAGAUACCCUGGUAGUCCACACGGUAAACGAUGAAUACUCGCUGUUUGCGAUAUACUGCAAGCGGCCAAGCGAAAGCGUUAAGUAUUCCACCUGGGGAGUACGCCGGCAACGGUGAAACUCAAAGGAAUUGACGGGGGCCCGCACAAGCGGAGGAACAUGUGGUUUAAUUCGAUGAUACGCGAGGAACCUUACCCGGGCUUAAAUUGCAGAUGAAUUACGGUGAAAGCCGUAAGCCGCAAGGCAUCUGUGAAGGUGCUGCAUGGUUGUCGUCAGCUCGUGCCGUGAGGUGUCGGCUUAAGUGCCAUAACGAGCGCAACCCUUGUUGUCAGUUACUAACAGGUUCCGCUGAGGACUCUGACAAGACUGCCAUCGUAAGAUGUGAGGAAGGUGGGGAGGACGUCAAAUCAGCACGGCCCUUACGUCCGGGGCUACACACGUGUUACAAUGGGGGGUACAGAGGGCCGCUACCACGCGAGUGGAUGCCAAUCCCCAAAACCUCUCUCAGUUCGGACUGGAGUCUGCAACCCGACUCCACGAAGCUGGAUUCGCUAGUAAUCGCGCAUCAGCCACGGCGCGGUGAAUACGUUCCCG